This 374-nucleotide unclassified non-coding RNA is filed under the name uncultured Actinomycetes bacterium. Its description in RNAcentral is "uncultured actinobacterium contains 16S-23S intergenic spacer region". Lineage: Bacteria; Bacillati; Actinomycetota; Actinomycetes. The record is from RNAcentral.
UCCGGUUUGUCACCGGCAGUCUCAUUAGAGUGCCCAACUAAAUGUAGCAACUAAUGACAAGGGUUGCGCUCGUUGCGGGACCUAACCCAACAUCUCACGACACGAGCUGACGACAGCCAUGCAGCAUCUGUGGUGCACCCUCGAAGGUCACACGUUUCCGUGCGCUUGCAGCACCAUGUCAAGUCCAGGUAAGGUUCUUCGCGUUGCAUCGAAUUAAAGAACAUGCUCCGCUGCUUGUGCGGGCCCCCGCCAAUUCCUUUGAGUUUUAGCCUUGCGGCCGUACUCCCCAGGCGGGGCGCUUAAUGCGUUAGCUUCGGCACAGGGGGAGUCGACACCCCCUACACCUAGCGCCCAUCGUUUACGGCGUGGACUAC